CGCACGGGUGAGUAAGGCUUAGGUAAUCUGCCCUUUCGCUGGGGACAACAGGGGGAAACUCCUGCUAAUACCGAAUGACCCUAAUUUUUCUGCGGAUCGAUUAGGGAAAGACGUAAGUCGCGAAAGGAGGAGCCUGAGUACCAUUAGCUUGUUGGUGGGGUAAAAGCCUACCAAGGCUGCGAUGGUUAGCUGGUCUGAGAGGAUGAUCAGCCACACUGGUACUGAAACACGGACCAG
This 237-nucleotide ribosomal RNA is filed under the name uncultured bacterium. Its description in RNAcentral is "partial 16S ribosomal RNA". It matches the Rfam family "Bacterial small subunit ribosomal RNA", at positions 99 to 334 of the family's 1533-position model. The record is from RNAcentral.